CGGCAAAUUCGACCCCAUAGCAUGUACGGUCUAUCAAGGCACGGCUUCAUACUCGGCAGCGACAACGAUACCAUUUGCAGACACAAUUACCGUGCACAACCCGGCUACAAAUAUUAGCAAAGGGAUUUUUACGUGUAAGAGAGAUGGCACGUAUAAGUUCCAUGCAUUUGCGUACAGCCAGUCGGGAGAGCAUUUCUUCUUGGAGAUGUAUCUCAACAACACACUCCUUGCUUCACUUUAUGGACACAUGAAUAGCGAAUAUGUAGAUGCUGGUAACACUGUGAUUGUACAAUUAAAUGUGGGAGACACCGUUUAAGUUAAAACCAAGGGAACAUUUACGGUUUCGCUGUACAGCUAUUACAAAGAAAAUACAUUCACUGGAGUGGAACUUGGAUCUCAAUUUCUUUAUUCCGAAGAACACGGUGCAAUUGCAUUCUCAGCUACAUCAAGUCACAACCAGAAUGUCUUGGAAAACACGACUGUUAAAUACCAUACCAAACUGGUCGAUGACGGCGACUCGUUGAAUCUUUCUUCUGGCGUAUUCACCGCACAGUCAAGUGGAUACUACAUGUUUCAUUUUUUCAGCACUUCGAGACAACACGAAGAACUUUGGUUAGAUCUGAGACAGAACGGCGCAUAUGUUUGCUCAAUUUACGGAUUCACCGAGUUUGACUGGGCAAGCGCCGGUAACUCGGUUAUCCUCCAUUUGUCCAGUGGUGACAACGUUGGUGUCUACUCUAGACCCGGUCAUGAAAGUCAUCUGUUCGGUUCUGCUGACCAUGUAUUUACAACGUUUUCUGGAGCACAACUAGUAUCGGAUUUCGAUUUAACAAACCCAGAAAACAUGGCCACCUUCCGGUCGGUAACAUCAAGUUUGGGCGUUCCUGUCGCGGAGCAAAAGACCGAUGGCCUCACCACCGUCCUGACAUUCUUGAGUUUGAUCCUGGACUCCAACAAAAUGGAAAUGGAAAUACGUAUCCCCCAACCUAAACGACAACAAGUUUUGGACCCCAAAUGAGGAAUCCCAACUUUACUCAGACAGUGCAGGUGCCAUGGGCCUGGGCUUUGGUGCCUACUUUCAUGGAAGAUGGUGCCAAGACGCCUAGCCGUCAGCUUUGCUAGAAGAGGGCCUUCUACAAAACGUCACAGUGUUAGAAAUGUUUCCCAUGGAGGUCGCUAUCUGUGUAUGGGGUUAUGAUCUCUGUAAUGAGAUCUAAUUGUGAUAACGUUGUUGUUGUCCACAUUCUGAACAAACUUUCAGCCAAGUCAGAACCUGUGAUGACACCGGUACGCAUAUUUACCAUGAGAUGCCUACAAAAUAAUAUACUCAUUAAAGCCUCACAUGUUCCUGGUACCCACAAUAAUAUUUGCGAUGCACUUUCUCGUUUUCAGAUGACACGGUUCAGGUCGCUGGCGCCAAAAGCAGCAGACAUACCGGACAACAUUCAAAGUUUUAUUUGGAAUAUCUUCACCAAAGAGGAACAGUAUUUACAGUGGCAGGCACUUCCGUGAACACUCACGCAACAUACACCACUAGUUUAAAGGCUUUUGAUCAUUCAGAACAACAUAUAAUUUCUCCUUGACCUGGCCAGUAACAGAUAAAGUCGUCAUUUUGUUCAUUACCUUUUGCUUUGAAUCCGGUCUUACACCUAACACGAUACUUACAUAUGUUACAGGUGUAAACUACUUUCAAAAAAUAAAAAGUGGCCAAUGCCUAAUCGAUAUAUUUAUUGUUAAGGAAACACUGGAAGGCUGUCACAGGUCAAGAAAUAAAGUCCCCGACACGAGGGAUCACAUUACAAGGCCUAUCUUAAAGGCUAUUCGCCAAGCAGCCCCCAACGCGUGCUAUUACAUUUACGAGUCAACUCUGUUUCAAGCUCUGUUCAGUGAUGAAUACUUUGGGUUAUUCAGGGUUAGCGAAUUAGUGGCAACUAACCCAUGGUUACCAAACUCUGGAUUGCAACAUUAAGCAAUAAAGGUAGACAAUAAUGCCCAGAAGCUUAUUAUUACUCUGGACGUUUUUAAAACCAAUCAACGUGGCUCGCCCAUACAGGUCAAAAUCCCCUGCGAACCUUCCCCUCCUUGCCCGCUGGAGGCAAUUCAACGUUAUUUAGCUCACCGUCCAGCAGUGACGGGUCCUGGUAGACCUGUUACAUGGUCAAAAUUCAAUGCUGUACUUCAUAAGUGCCUUUACUUAACAGAGUUUUCCAGGUCACAUUUCAGAACCCAUAGUUUCCGCAUCGGCAGGGCAACACACUUGGCAACACAGGGUAUCACAACAAAGGCCAUUAUGGUUUUGGGCCGCUGGAAGUCUACUGCAUAUAUAUCUUACAUUCGUUAGGUAAUAACACACUCAUGUAUUCGUUUGUGGGAAUUUCUAUACCAUUAUCGUCUAUUCCUUUUAAGAUGUGUGAGUCAUUUGCGACUCCAUUCCAUACUGGGCGUCGUAGCUCUAUAUCACUGGAAAUGUGCCACGACUCACACACCAGGUUGCUUGGGAUUGCUACAGGGGAGCAGGCUGGGGAGACCUGCGCAAGAACAUAGAAAUGGCCGUGUUGUUUAGCAACCCCCUUUAAGUCGCCGUUAUUCAUCUGGGCGGGAAUGACCUCAAUAAAUCUUUGACAUCAUGCGUGCCGAGAUCCGCUACCUCCGGGAUGCUUGGCCUGAGGCAAUCCUCAUAUGGGUCGACAUCCUCGAACGGGGUGGCUGGGGUCGGCAUGAUGUACGUAAGACGAAGAGGGUCAACCGCUUCGGUCGGGUGGAGGUCUCGUCCACAGGCAAGUCGGAUUGCUGGCGGCCAGACAUCUCCACGGACGUACAGGGAUUCUUCCGCCCAGAUGGUGUACACCUAAAAACCAUGGGCCUACAUUUUUAUAUUGAUGGUCUCACUGAGGUUAUAAAGAAAAUUCUGGUACAAAAAAAGUAAAGCUUUGGGGAAAUUGCCUUCACCAAUUUUGUGGCGGAAAAUUAACAUUGGCCGAGAGUCAGUCGGGCUGGGUUCAGUAAUAUACUUUCAAUGAGCUGUUAAUGUAUACUUACACUAGUACUCACAUUUGGAACUGUGCACCCUCUUACAAUCAGUCGUUUAUAAUGGUGGUUUGAGGGACCCACAGUUGGGCAAAAACAUUAAGGGUUACACUAUAACCUUCAUAUUUUCAUUGGACUUGCCCCACCGGCUCCUCUGUGUCGCCAGUCAACAGAGAGUUACGGUUAGUCAGUUGGGCAGAAAAUAAUAAACUAUAAUGUACUAAUAUAUAUAAUGGUGUGGGUAAUUUUGCAGACGAGUCGGUGUUAAUGCACGACACAUGUUGUGUCUCAACUUUGCUAUCCUUACUGUUGUCCGUCACCCCAAUUGCGUGGGGCGAGUUGCAUUGCGUCCCUCUGGUGGUUUGUACAUUGGCCCGGGACUCGCCCACAGUACUUGGCGACCAGGAUUUUGCGUGUUACGUUUCGUAUUGCGUUGCGUUUUCUUAGGUUGUUUCGUUGCCCACUAAUUACAGUUGCUAGCCAAAGUGAUAUAUAUUUAUAUAGCACUAUGCAUUUUAUUAAGAGGGAACUCUUGUUGCUCUGCCGGCAUUCUCUCGGCCAUGGAGAAUUCCUGACCUCUGACUAAAGUCGAGUCCUUAAGACAAAUCAUAUAGUCAGUGACAUAACACGGCCUUUAUUAUCCCACAUCCUACACAUCAUUGACAUGUUCUUAAAUUUUGUUUGUUAAAUAUAUUACAAAACAUUGUGUGUCUUGUACCAUCUUUGGAUGGCCAAAACUAAUAAUAAACACGUGUAAUGGUU
This is a long non-coding RNA of Dreissena polymorpha, 3789 nucleotides long. RefSeq lists it as uncharacterized. The transcript has 6 exons. The record is from RefSeq and is a predicted model, not a curated record. Lineage: Eukaryota; Metazoa; Mollusca; Bivalvia; Myida; Dreissenidae.